GAGCCAGCGCGCAGGCGGGCUCAACCCCGGGCCGGGCGGGCCCCGCCUCCAGAGAACCUGGAGCCCGCCCCUCGCCCAGGCUCCGCCUUCCCCCACGUGUCUGCGGCCGAGGGGAGGCGCCUGAGCCGGAGCGGGCUCUCCACCGGUCCGGCCCGGUCCUCACACAGGUCUCCGUCAGCGGCUGCCGGAUGCUUCCGCCCCGGCUUUGGCGGGCCGGGCUGGACGCUUAGUGCCCGGCUCGUGCCCUGCCAGAAGCGCCCGCGGGGGUGGCAGCGGCCUCCGCCCCGCGGAGACCGAGCUGCUGGAGGACGAGGCGGCGGCCGCGGGGAGGAGGAUGGGGGCUAACCAGUUAGUGGUGCUCAACGUGUACGACAUGAUGCCUUUGAUGAUAAUUGUGUUUGUUUAUAAGCCUGGUAUAUCAUCUAUUCCAAAAUCAACCACUGGAUUUUCCUGUUGCAAUCAUCGAUCAAUUGCCAUAAGACGUUUAUUUGUGUAGCAUUGGCUGACCUGGACGUUGCUUUGGCGGCUCACACCUGGAGUUCCAGUACUUGAGAGGCUCUGGCUCACCCAUGAAUUCGAAGCCAACCCUCACUACAUUCUGAGUUCUGAGCUAGACUGGGCUACAGAGUUGAGAGCCUAUUUCAAAACAAUAUAAACAAUGUAAAAUAACGUUUAAACUGAGGCACAAUUUAGAAACCUCUUCUAGAACAAUGUUUCUCAAAUUUAUCCAGAAUCAACUAAGAAAUACAUUUUAUAUAAUAACCACUGUGCCCACAUGUAAUUAAGACCAUAGAUAGAUAGAUAGAUAGAUAGAUAGAUAGAUAGAUAGAUAGAUAGAUAGAUAGAUAGGACCUUAUCACAUGUCUUCAAUGAGUACUACUGUGUGGUGUUCAUUUAAAAUGCUGGUGUAACCCACUGAAACCAAUUCAGGAAUUCACUGGUGACUAGGAAUCUUCAGUUUAAGAUAUAGUCUCAAAAUCAGAGAAAAAAAAAACUAUAAAAGUUUUUCAGAAGCUUAAAAUACUACAAGAAGUUGCUAGCUAAUCCUUUAUAGGAAUAUAGUACUUUUAAAUUCAAGGCUUUUAAGUAUUGACUGCUAUAUAAGUAUAAUGAAAUGAUUUUAUGUAAUGACUGUAAAAUAAUGCUUUGAUCACCAAGAACAGCUUAUAAGAGACAGUACUGUGUAGUUUCCGUUAUUCGUGGUUUAUUUGAGAAUUUAAAACUUAGUAAAUGAUAUACUUUCUAUUUCCUGAGCACUCUUUUUUGGGGGGAGAAACAAGUCAAGCAUUCCACUCAACAUGUUACAUAAACACUUGCUGUACAUUUGGAGGAAAACAGCCAUGCUUUCCACUUACUCACUUGUUUGACACUGUUGUGUGCAGAAGUUGGUGGCUGUAUUAAGUAUUCAGGUUCCAGACCAGGGAAAUAGCACUUAUCAUUGUUGAUCUCAAACUGGAAGCAUAAGGGUUUAUUAAAUUGAUAAGACAAGUUAUUAACUAAAGUGAAGUUUAAUGAAAGGUCUCUGAGAAGGUGGCCAGUAACUCAAUUUAUUUGAGUAUACAAUAGUUUAAAAUAAUAAAUAGUGUUUAGGCCAGUUUUUAUUUUGAAGCAAAAUUGAGCCCUAAGUAUAUAUAUUGUCUUCCUACAUAACUUUCCCAUUGUUUCCUUUCCAUUUGUUAAUACUAUGGGAUGCUUUUUUAAAAGUUUUCUAGAUGUGAAUAAAUAAAUAAGAUAAAUGUCAGAGGAGGUAAAAUGUACAUCAGUGGCCCUAGCCUGUGUGUUUACCAUUUCCUUGGACAUUAGGAAGUAAAGAUCUUGUGCCAAAAUGAGGUUUGGGUCUCUAGGCUUCUCAUGGCCCUCACAAAUACAAACAUCCUAUAAAAUACAGCCCUCCUUCAAGAGGCCAUGCACUCACCCCUGUGCUUCUCCAGAAUAUAAAUAAAUCUUGUAGGAGUCUGAAAGUAGAGUUACGUUAACGCUAGCAUUGUUUUCUCUUCAAUUUAGUGAGUCAUCACCCUGGCAAUUUGACUUCAGCUCUGAAAGAAUCAUGAAAAUUGUUAAGAAUUCACAGAUUGGCAGAUAACCAGAACUGAUCUACUUGUUUACAUAUGCACUUUCUUGUCUGCUGAAAAAUCAUAGUCCAUUUUCUUUAGUAGAUAAAUGUUUAGUAUAGAAAAAAUUAUUAUCCUUUUUUUUAUCUUAAUCAUCCUCCUCCCCCUUGUUUGUGCUGGCUUUGUAGCCUCAACAGCCUUAAACUCUCCUGUGUAUUGGUAGUACAGGUUUGAGGCAAGUUCUCUAUUUCUAAUGUUUUCUAGGGCUCAUGCACUCUUCUGAACACACAUGGUGUUGAUUCAUUUAACCCUCACAGCAGUCUAAGAUAGAUUCUGUUUAUUACCUCAUCAUAUACACAUGGACAUCAAGGAUCAGAGAACUUAGAUACCCCCAAUUUGAAUCAGUGAAUAAUUAAGCCAAUAUUUACACCAAAGCUCCAGAAUUUUGAAUUAGCACCACAUUAGCUUUCUUUCCUUUUCUCUUUCUUUCUUUUUUAGACAGAUUGAAUACCUUAAAAGUUACCAGAUCCAUUCACAAAUGAAGGCCAAACAGCUGAAUCCUCACAGAAUCCAGAGUCUUCUCUGCUAUUUCUGUUAGUGGUAAUAUUUGGAUACGUUUUCUAACUUGAUCAAUUCAAAUACGGUAGAAGAAAGUUCCCUAUGUUCCAAACUAGAAGAUCGUCUAGGGAAACUGUAAGUUUCAAAUUAAAAUGUUUGCCAUCCUCCCCCCGCCCCAGUAUAAUUCCUGGGCGAUCAUGUUGUGAAGACAGCACUGCAUAAACUUGAAUCUGGAGCCUCCUUAGUUGAUCUGCCCUGAGUCCUGGUUCGUCCCUCCCUUGUAUACAGCACACCUCUCUGCUGGGUUUUGUCUGCAGGACUGACCCUGGUGUCACAUGUAACUCAUCAUCCCACUUUUGGCAGUUGUCUCAGAGCAGGUGUUCUUAGUCCACUCAACUCUGGUGGGCUCACACCCUGGGAAUAGACGUGGCCUUCCCUGGUUCAAGUAAAAAGCCAACUUCUAAGACUUUGUUUGAAUAAAAUAUCCUGGAUAAUCCAUUUUUUCCUUGUGUACGUUAUGUUUAAACUUUUGGCAUCUGUUACUAUUUAGACAACAAAAUCAAUAAAGACACAUUCAACACAAAUUAACAGAAAUCUUGCUAACAUUCAGUCAUAAUCUAGUUCAGCAGCUUGUUUUGUUUUUCAUAGAUGCUUUUUCUUGGCUGUCAUUUCAUUUUGCAUAUUUAUAAUAUUUUCUGUUAGAAAAAAUGUUUCUAGUUUAUAAAAUGGAAUUAAACAGAUACAUUAUACUUGCUGUUCUACAAAAGCAGGAAUUUUGCAAGUUUAAGAAGCUCUGAACUUUGUAGGGAGAUUUUGCUUUAGAUGCUAUAUAAAAUAAGUUUUGGAGGUAGCAAAAUAAUUUUUUAAAAAUAAUGGUUAAAAAAAAAAAAAAAACACUGUGAAGCCAGGCAGUGGUGGUGCACAUCUUUAAUCCCCGCACUCAGCAGACAGAGCCAGGCCAAUCUCUUUAAGUUCCAGACUAACCAGGGCUACAUAUACAUACACAAGGAAACCUUAUUUUAAAAAGGGAAGGGGCGGGGGGGGGGGGGGGGAACAGCUUGCAAUGGAAGCCCAAAGACCUGACUUUAUAUCUCCAGCAAAAAGUCAGGCAUGCAUGUGUAGUUGGGGCUCAGAGACAGGCAGGUCCCUGCUGCUUUGUCAGCCUCGGCACAUUUGUGAAUUCCAGAUUCAGUUCAGUUCCUAUCUUAACACACAGCCUCUGAUCUCUUCAUAUACCAUGCACCCACACACAUGCCAUAAAAGAAAAAAACAAAAAGACGCUGCACACAGAGACACAUGCAUAUGUAAAAUAAUAGGAGUAAUAAAAGUAGCUGAGCAGUGGCGGCAUACACCUUUAUUCCCAUCCAUUGGGAGGCAGAGGCAGGUGGAGUUUGAGGCCAGUCUGGUCUAGAGUUAGUUCCAGGACAGCCAGAGCCACACAUAGACCCUGUCUAAAAUAAUAAUAAUAAUAGUAACUAAAAGAACUGGGCCUGGUGGUACAUACUUGUAAUGCUAACACUCCAGAGGCUCCCUGGGCUAUCUAGUGCAUCCGAGGAAUGUGAGGCUUGUCUGGAGUCCAUAACAAGACUGUGACUCCAUAAAAAAGAACCAAAAAUAGUGACAACAAGGAAUAAACACCACGUUAGGGAAGCAUUGAAAAUCACCACUGCUAAUUUUACUAAUCUUACCUGUGAAAGGGUGUUAGUUACUUCAGCAUGAAUAGUUAAUGAUGAUAAGUCACUGUAGGAGAAUUUCACAACUGAUCAUUCAGAAAAAGCUCAGUUCUCCUAGCUUGUUUACAGUUAUCUCAGGAAAUUUCAAAAACAGGGCCUUAUCCGUGCUGUCUGCACAGCAGAGGCAGGACUUGAUGAAGCAUGAUGACCUUGAAUUAAAUCCUGUCUUCCCAGACAGCCUCCCCUGUAAGUAAAGAGUGAGCUCUCCAGGCUUGUUCUCUAAUAAUAGAUCAAGGAAGCCUGAACAGGGGCAGAACAUUUGGAGGACAUCACGCUCUGACCAAACCUCCAAGGAAGGGCUUGCCCUUCUGUAAUGAAUAUAUUCAGGGAAAUGCUCACACAAAGAAAAAUCAUCUGUUUACUCUGACUCAUUUUGUGAUGAAAACUAAGUUUCUUCAGAAAUGUGCUGCUGUUGUGUAUGAAGAGGUGGUGACCAGACUACACACUGAGUUCUUUCCUGCUGCUGUUGAAGUAGAAAAGUGCUACUUUUUUAUAUCCUGUUUUCCUUGUAACUGAAAGCACACAAACCUAGAAGGCAGCUUACAGUUAGAUAUGCACACUGUGAUUUAAGAAAUAAUCUGUUUGAAGUUUGGUUAGGAAUAGAAAGUUCAGGAACUAACUGUAUUUCCUUUAGUGUAACAUGAAUUCUAUCUAAUUGGUAUUAAUUUUAUCCCAGAGUCAGACACAGGGUUUAAUGCUGAAAGAUCAGAGAAGCAGAGCAACCAGUUACUAUAGAGUUCUUACCUCUACCAAUGCUCAGACCAAGGGGCAAUUCUGUCUCUAUUUAGCCUCAGGCUGCAUCUAAACCCUGUCUCCUCCUGUCUUAUAUUCUUCUCUCCUCCCAACCAUAUCACUCCUGUCUCCACCUCCCUAGUGCUGGGAUUAAAGACGAGGAAUGCCAAGUGCUAGGAUCACCUUUGUGUGAGUUGUUUUUCUUUAGACAGAUUCACUCUUGUGUGGCCCAGGGUGGCCUUGAACUGACAAAAGAUCUGUCUACCUUUGUCUCCUGAGCUGUGGUUAAAGGGUGUGCCACACUACCUGGCAUCUGUGGCUAACUAGUGUCUUAGCUCCGUACUCUGAUCUUAAGACAAGCUUUAUAUGUUAGAUCACAAACAAAAUAUCACUACACUUUAGUGUUGCCAGAAAAAAUUUUAGGGUAUCUAAAUGUAUUUUGCAUUUUUUGUUUGUUUUCAUUGAGAGUCAUAUCCAUAAUCUAUAUAAAGAAAAGCAUCAAUUAAGGUAGGACAUAAAUCAAUUACCUAUUUGUUAUCAGUUAAUUUUUUGUACAUAUUUCAUAGAAUGUAGUUAUACAAACCUACAUGGUAUCGUCCAGUCACCUCACGAUGGCCUGGUGCUGUGGUUGAAUCCCAGUGCACAGUGCAUGUGACCUAUGAAUACAGUAAAAGGUGAGUUAAACAUGAGGUGCUAAAAAAAAAAAAAAAAAAACUCCUGCCCUCAUAACACAGCAUCUGGCUUUACAGGGAGCUUUUCCUCCCUUUUCUUUAAUAAGUAUGAGAAGUACAUUGUAAAAUAACAGCAAAAACCAGCAACAUUUAUUAUUAUCAAGUCCUUUGUACUAUAAUUAUAUGUAUUAUACUUAUAUAAAAUGUUAUAUCUUACAUAUACUUCUAAGUUUGUUUAUACAUACCAGCAUCACCACAAACAUAAAUAAUGUGCUGCACCAUUACCUUAAUUAUGUGUCAUUAAGCAAUAGGAACUUUUCAGCUGUUAUAAUCUAUGGGAUCAGCAUAUAUGAGAACUGUCACUGACUAAGAUUGUGGCAUGUGAGUUCUACAUGAUGAGAUGUUCCUCUCAAAGUUUUACUGUAUAUCAUCUCAGAAUAAGGAACAGAAACUUACUUCCUCGUUAAUUUCUUUGUUCUCAGUUUGCUAACAAGGAAGAAAUUGGCAUUGCCAAUUAAAAGAAUAAAACCUGUUUUAUACUUGGAAAAAUUGCUGAGGGAUUCAUGGCAUAUAUAAAAUAGUUUUUGUUUAUUCAAAACAGAUAACUAUAAUUUAUAUCUAUGAAACAAUAUACACGCCGGGCAGUGGUGGUGCACGCCUUGAGUCCCAGCACUCAGGAGGCAAAGGCAGGCUGAUCUCUGAGUUCGAAGGCCACCCUGGUCUACAGAGCGAACAAGUGCCAGGACAGACUCCAAAGCUAUACAGAGGAACCCUGUCUCAUAAAACCAAAAACCAAACAAAACAAACCAUACUCAGCCAAGUAUAGUAUUAAAAUACAUCUGUAACCUCCUUACUCAGUACUCUUAAGUGAGGAAGAUUCUAAGUUCCAAUUAGGCUGGGUAACGUAGUAAGACCCUUGUCUCAAAAUGUGCUUGCAAAUGCAUUCUUGUGCCAUUUGGUAGAAAUUAGUGGAUCCUUUACUAUAUUGAGAACAUUACAAAAUUUCAAUUAUUAUAAGCAGAAAACACAUACUCCUCACACUGCCAAUCCUAUACUCAUAAGCAGUGUGUGACCUGCUUUCUGUCUGUAUAGAUUUGCCUGUUAUAGGCUGUUCAUAUGAGUCGUGGAAUGUGUUAUGUGGUUACUGGCAAGCAGUGUUUAAGCAACAAUAUUAGUUAUUGUGCCUUACACAGUAUUAAAAACCUUCAAAGAAAAAGAUGUUAGGAAUGAGAAUUGUACUUGUUAUUUAAUUCUGUCCAAAGGAAUAUUUUUGCUUUAAAAAAAAAUCUAUUCCUAGCAACUUGUGACUUUCUAGAACCUUGAGCAAAAGCAAUUGGAUUGUCUAUUUUCCAUUUGAAAGAAGCUACCACUUGCACAGAAAGCUACUGGUAUUGGUUUAUCACUGUGCUGCCUCAGCAGUUCUCCAGGUGCUUUAUAUAGGCCACAUUCAUUAUUGUGAAUUCCAAAGUUCUGAUCAGAUUUUGAAGUGAUACAUGAUUAUUCUUUUUAAGAUUCUCUCAUUUUAUGGAAAAAUGUGUCAAAGCAUAGCCAUUUACUUUUAGUAUAUAAAGACUUGAAUUUUAGACCAAAGUAAUGAAUCCACAAGUACAUAUUAGUUCUAAGUUUUGAAUCCUUAAGUAUGGAAGGAAUUAUUUUCGUUUGUGAAAAGAGAGAGUUCAGGGACCUCAUUCUACCAAGUGCCUUCUGGCCUUACUCUCUUGUCAGCAGUCAUCAUUUAAGAAUAAUCUUUUUCAUAAAAUUGUUUCUCUUUUUAAUAAAACGCUUAGAUUCCCCAUUCUAGAAAUGUGUUUCAAAGCACUUUUGGAAGACUAUUUACUGUCUACCUAAAAGAAAAGUUAUAAUUAAUAGUGAACAUUAGAUAGAAUAUUCCAUUUAGUACUUGCUUAAAAUCUUUUUGAGUGAUACAAACAUAUCAGCAGGCAACAGAAAGAGAAAGACACUGGGCCUGACUUGGUCUUUUAAACCUCAAAACCCUCCCCAGUGACACUUCCUCCAACAAAGCCACACCAACUCCAACAAGGUCACACCUCCUAAUCUUUUUCAGGUAGUACCACUCCUUGAUUAACUAACCAUUCAAUUACGCGAUCAGUUGAGGGCCAUUCUUAUUUAAAGCACCACAACUCCGUGGUUCACCAUUAAAGAGUUUCUGAUAGUCAAGUCCAGAAGCAAUGGUGCUUGCCUUUAAUCCUAGCCCUCUGGAAGCAGAUCUCUGAGUUCAAGGCCAGCCUGAUCUUACUAAGUUCCAGAACAGCUAGCAUGGCAUAGUAAAACCCUGUCUCAAUUUUUAAAAAAAAGUUUCUGAUGUUCAGAUUUUCUUACAGUUGCGAAAUAGAAACCAUCUGUGGUCAAUUUCUGUAUCAUUUUUAUGUGGUUCCAUCAGACAGUGCCCCAAUAAAGCUGCUUCAUCAGUGAGUUUUUGAGUUCACAGUGGUCAAUGGUGCAAAAGCAAUGUACAAUUAGUAGAAACUAGACUUGAAAUUUUGAAUUUUCAACAAUUGUAGUAGGCCAAAACUCUAACCAUUCAAAUGAACCUGUGACUGUGGCUAAGCUCUUAUGUUCUGGAAGAUAGGAUUAUUCAGAAUAUUACUAAAUUAUCAGAAAUUGAGCAUUUGUAGUAUUCGACUGUAAAAUACCUAAUUUAGAUUCUAAAGUUUAGAACCUUUUUCAAAAAAUUUCCUCCUUUCCAAAACAGGGUUUCCCUGUGUAGCAAUAACAGCCCUGGCUGUCCUGGAAUAUUCUUUGUAGACUAGGCUAGCCUUGAACUCAGAGACCCACCUGCUUCUGCCUCUGAAGUGCUGGGACUGAAGGCAUGCACCACUAUGCCUGGCCCUUUUUCCAGUUGUUAAAGUAAUGCAUGUAACACCUAUAUAAAAAGUCCUGAUAUAAUUAAAAGUGAAAAGAGAUUCCUCUAAAUAUCAUUUCUACCCUAGCCUUGUCUGUGUUCAUCACUGAACUGCUAACAAUUGGAUAUAUUUCAAAUCUUAUUUAUUUUUGAGACGGGGUCUCACAAAGCCUCAGAUUUACUAUGAAACCAAAGAUGACCGUGAAUUUAUGGUUCUUGUGCCUCUGCUGGGACUUCAUCCAUGUGCCACCAUGCCCAGUGAUGCUUGGGAUUAAACACGGGGCUUGUGCACAUACCAGACUCUACCAACUGAGCUACAUCCUCAGUCCAUGGCCCUUUCUUUUGGUAGAGCUUGUUAGUCGAGCUACAAAUAUUUAUAACUUGCUUUUUUUUUUACAUUAUAUUAGUUUUUAAAUUUUAAUACAGAAUAUUGGGACAAAGCUCCCAGACAGCCAUGCAAAUGAACAGCAGCCAAUCUGUAACUAUAUAUAUUCUAUAAAGCAUUACCUCUUUCCUUUUUAGUAAUUGUUUAAUUCAUAAUACAGAUUUUUUUAAUAGUUUCUUUAACCAUUUGUCUUAGAUUUCUAUUGUUUGGAUAAAACAACCAUGAGGAAAGGGUUUUUUGACUCUUCCAUCACUGUCCAUCAUUGAGGGAUGUCAGAGCAGGAAUUCAAGGAAGGAACCUAGAGGCAGAAACUGAAGCAAAGACUACUGAGGAUGCUGCUUGCUGGCUUGCUUCCCAUAACUUUCUCUGCCUAUUUUCUUAUACAGCAAAGAACUACCAGCCCAGGUGGGACAUCAUCUGUAAUAAGCUGGACCCUCCACAUCAGUCAUUAGUCAAAAGUUGCCCUGCAUACUAGUUUUAUGGAAGCGUUUUCUCAGUUGAGAGUCCCUCUUCUCAGAUGACUCCAUAGCUUGUAUCAAGUUGACAAAAAAUUAAACACACCAUUCCUCUCCUGAUACUUGUUAUAUCAAGUUUUUUUGGGCAUUAUGGACAAUAAUAAGAUUUUAUAACAUUCUUUUGUGUGUGUGUGUGUGUAUAUAUAUAUAUAUAUAUGUAUUUCUAUAGAGUAGAUUUCUGUGAGUAGAAUAGUUAACUACCUAGAUUGAUUCAUAAAUGUGCAAUCUUCCUCAUCCUUUUCCUAACAAAGUUUUGACAGUCUUAGGCAAAAAAAGGGUAAAUUAUAAUGAGUAUUUUCCUGUUUACUAGUGAGAUUAUUCAUGUUGGUUGACUACAAAUUGUUUCUGUGGUUGCCUACACAUCUUUGGGGAUUCUUUUUUUUUCAAUGGAACUUUUGUUUUUUUUAGUAUACCUGGCUGUCCUGAGCUUUUGUUUGCUUGGACUGUAAGGAUAGAUAUAUUUGGGUAAAUGUUUUGUGGAUCUCUUGAGUUUGAGGCCAACCAGGGCUACACAUAGAAAAUCUAUCUUGAAAAAGAAGGGGGAUGGGGUGAGGGUAUUCUUUGCUUGUUGUUGUUGUUGUUGUUGUUGUUAGAUUAGCAUGUAAAAUAAUGAGUUUCAUCUGGUAUCUUCAUAUGUUCUUGCUUCUCGCUCAUUACCUUCCUUGCUGCCCUCACCUCUGUUUCCUACCCAUCCCUAGCUGGGUACAUUCUUUCCCUCCUUUUUGCUUUCUUUUUUUAAAAUAUUUAUUUAUUUAUUUAUUAUGUAUACAAUAUUCUGUCUGCAUGUAUGUCUGCAGGCCAGAAGAGGGCACCAGACCUCACUACAGAUGGUUGUGAGCCACCAUGUGGUUGCCGGGAAUUGAACUCAGGACCUUUGGAAGAAUAGGCAAUGCUCUUAACCGCUGAGCCAUCUCUCCAGCCCCCCUCCUUUUUGCUUUCUUGAGAGGGUUUUGUGUUACAAUCCUGGUUUUAUAUUCACCACCGUCUGCCUCAACCUCCCAAAUGCUGGUAUUACUGGCAGUCACUACUAAACUUAGUUUAGUAAUUUAUCCACUGUUAAUAAUUGGUUUGAAAUACUACCUUUGUCAAACAGCAACUAUUUGCAUAUAUAAACAUGUGUUUCAGGAUAUUCUUGCUAUAUCCUGUAUUGUCGUGAUUAAUUUUUCAGUGUUAGGAACCCAGCACAGGAUCUGGUACAUGAUCUGGGGUUCUACAAUUCUGCUACUUCCUCAGCUAUAGUGAAUAUUUGCAGCAUAGACAAAUGUAACACCUUUACACAGUUAAAGUCAUAUUCUGCAGCAUAAACAAUGUAACACAUCUUUACAUAGUUAAAAAAAUAUUCCACAAUACUACAUGCCCCACAGACAUAAAAUAGUUAAAAAUUAAAGACAAAUUAUCAGUCAUCUAACCCAGGAGAAGUCCAAUGGGUUUAUAACACUUGGAAUUACUGCCUACGUAUUUGUUUGAUGCAUUAGUAACUCAUUUACCUCUUUCUAAGUGUAAGCUUCUCUAGCCUACCCUUUUAAACCCUUUCACACAGUCAUUCCCUGUAGUUUCAUACCAUAAUUCUGAUAUACAUCUCCUUCCCCCUUCCAUGGUCUUAGACUUUUCAUUUUCUCUUCCCUGCCCAGUCCAAACUUGGUACCUGAGAAGAUCUUAUUUGUGCCUAUAGACCCAUUUCAUAUACUAACUACCUUCUCUAGGAAGUUUGUCUUCAUGGCGCCUGUAGGAGGGUUGUUCUUACCCUCAGUGUUCCUAUGUGCUUCAUACUACUUAUUCCUAGUUUCAAACUUCAGGCUGAAUUGGGGUAGUAAACAAGCCAUAAAUGUUAACAAGGAAUAAAGUAUGCCUACUUGCAGAGAACUCACUAGAGUAUGAAAGAAAAAGUUUAGAAGAAAAAUAGAUAGGAACUAAAUAUGCUUGUCUAUAUGUGGUGCUUUAUGUUUGGGUUUUUUUGUUGUUGUUUUGGUUUUUUUUGGGGGGGGGACACAACAGUUUCUUACUGUAUAGCUUUCGCAAGCAUGGAACUCACUCUAAUGAUCAUACUGGCUUUGAACUCAUAGAGACCCAUCUGCCUCUGCCUCCCAAGUGCUGGGGAUAAAGGCAUGUGCCACCAUGACCUGUCAGAGGUCAUAAGAGUUAUAACAGGUGACAACUAGUGUUUAGAUAUCAACCCACCAGAGGAAUGGUUAUCUGAUAGAGGUUAAUCCUGUCCAGAUGAGUCUGCAGGACCAUUGACUGAAACUGUUGCUAAGGCACUUGAUGUCACCCCAAUGUCUGCACUGUAAUGUAUAAUCUCAUGUGAUGUGUAUAUUUAAUCUCAUGAUUGCAUCUCAGUCCAAUGGGUACAUAUGUCUGUGGAAAAAGACUUCAUUUAGCUAUACAGCCUUGAUAUAUAGAAUAUAUACUGGGACAUGCUUCAUAAUUGGAUCUAUUUGUCCUACAAGGACUAUGAAAACUUAAAAAAAAAAAAACUGCCUUGUUCUUUUGCUUAUUGGGUGAUUUUCCCCCAAUAUGUGGGACCCCAAUGAGAAAAUUUGGUCACACAGUCAAAAACCUUGGUUCCCACAGUCAAAUCUCUGCUUCAUUCCCUGAGAUAAAAUUUAUACGCCAGCCAGGCAAUGGUGGUGCACGCCUUUAAUCCCAGCACUCGGGAGGCAGAGGCAGGCAGAUCUCUGUGAGUUUGAGGCCAGCCUGGACUACAAGAGCUAGUUCCAGGACAGGAUCCAAAGCUACAGAGAAACCCUUUCUUUAAAAAAAAAAAAUAGAUCGCAUUUGGGACCUUCAAAGAUAUGAGUAUAGCUUAGGUGUCCCAAAUUCUCCUACAGCUGACUUGGGAAAGUGCUAACCUCAGUUGACCCCCAGCUCUAACCCUACAAAAGUUAUUAAACUCCCUACAUUUACUCAACUUACCGAUACAGGAUUUUAGUAUAGAAAUGUAGUAUUGCAUACAGGAUUUUAGUAUAGAAAUAUAGUAUCACAUACAUGAUUUUAGUAUAGAAAUGUAGUAUCGCAUGUGAACUCCCCUUCUCCCUUCCUAUAAUUUAAAGUCUCCUAAAUCACCUUUUUUGCCUCUUAGUGCUGCCCAGGCAUCUCUCUAGCCAUGCCUCCUUGGAGCCAUAAAGAAGCUGUCACUUGGGACAGCUCUUAUCUGUUUUAUGACUUUGAGAAAUUCUGGUUCUGUCACUUGGUGAUUACCAGAGAAUUGCCUUUGUUUGUGUGUGUGUAUAAACUGGAAACUUUGCAGCGGGACAGAACAAUAAACUGACCUGAAGAAGUACAGAAUGGGAGAGUUUGUUCAUUCACCUUCAGAUAGCCAGAGGAAAAAGAGUCAUUUUCACUUCUUGUAGAUUCUAAUCUGAACCCUGAGAGGGCUUCGAGGUUGGCUCUCCAUUAGCCCUUGUUAAUGACCCGCUAUGUGUGUGCUAUUUUAAUCACUGAUGGCACUUUUUUUUUAAAUAUUUAUUUAGUUAUUAUUUAUACAAUAUUCUGUAUGCCUGCUGGCCAGAAGAGGGCACCAGACCCCAUUACAGAUGGUUGUGAGCCACCAUGUGGUUGCUGGGAAUUGAACUCAGGACCUUUGGUAGAGCAGGCAAUGCUCUUAACCUCUGAGCCAUCU
Molecule: long non-coding RNA, 13127 nt
Organism: Alexandromys fortis (reed vole)
Lineage: Eukaryota; Metazoa; Chordata; Mammalia; Rodentia; Cricetidae
Exons: 3
Source: RefSeq, a predicted model, not a curated record